GGGUUGUGAGGUUAAGCGACUAAGCGUACACGGUGGAUGCCCUGGCAGUCAGAGGCGAUGAAGGACGUGCUAAUCUGCGAAAAGCGCCGGCGAGGUGAUAUGAACCUUUGACCCGGCGAUGUCCGAAUGGGGAAACCCAGUGUGAUUCGUCACACUAUCGUUAACUGAAUACAUAGGUUAACGAGGCGAACCGGGGGAACUGAAACAUCUAAGUACCCCGAGGAAAAGAAAUCAACCGAGAUUCCCCCAGUAGCGGCGAGCGAACGGGGAGCAGCCCAGAGUCUGAAUCAGCUUGUGUGUUAGUGGAAGCGUCUGGAAAGUCGCACGGUACAGGGUGACAGUCCCGUACACGAAAGCACACAGGCUGUGAACUCGAAGAGUAGGGCGGGACACGUGGUAUCCUGUCUGAAUAUGGGGGGACCAUCCUCCAAGGCUAAAUACUCCUGACUGACCGAUAGUGAACCAGUACCGUGAGGGAAAGGCGAAAAGAACCCCGGCGAGGGGAGUGAAAAAGAACCUGAAACCGUGUACGUACAAGCAGUGGGAGCACCUUCGUGGUGUGACUGCGUACCUUUUGUAUAAUGGGUCAGCGACUUAUAUUCUGUAGCAAGGUUAACCGUAUAGGGGAGCCGAAGGGAAACCGAGUCUUAACUGGGCGUUAAGUUGCAGGGUAUAGACCCGAAACCCGGUGAUCUAGCCAUGGGCAGGUUGAAGGUUGGGUAACACUAACUGGAGGACCGAACCGACUAAUGUUGAAAAAUUAGCGGAUGACUUGUGGCUGGGGGUGAAAGGCCAAUCAAACCGGGAGAUAGCUGGUUCUCCCCGAAAGCUAUUUAGGUAGCGCCUCGUGAACUCAUCUUCGGGGGUAGAGCACUGUUUCGGCUAGGGGGCCAUCCCGGCUUACCAACCCGAUGCAAACUACGAAUACCGAAGAAUGUUAUCACGGGAGACACACGGCGGGUGCUAACGUCCGUCGUGAAGAGGGAAACAACCCAGACCGCCAGCUAAGGUCCCAAAGUCAUGGUUAAGUGGGAAACGAUGUGGGAAGGCACAGACAGCCAGGAUGUUGGCUUAGAAGCAGCCAUCAUUUAAAGAAAGCGUAAUAGCUCACUGGUCGAGUCGGCCUGCGCGGAAGAUGUAACGGGGCUAAACCAUGCACCGAAGCUGCGGCAGCGACACUUAUGUGUUGUUGGGUAGGGGAGCGUUCUGUAAGCCGUUGAAGGUGUGCUGUGAGGCAUGCUGGAGGUAUCAGAAGUGCGAAUGCUGACAUAAGUAACGAUAAAGCGGGUGAAAAGCCCGCUCGCCGGAAGACCAAGGGUUCCUGUCCAACGUUAAUCGGGGCAGGGUGAGUCGACCCCUAAGGCGAGGCCGAAAGGCGUAGUCGAUGGGAAACAGGUUAAUAUUCCUGUACUUGGUGUUACUGCGAAGGGGGGACGGAGAAGGCUAUGUUAGCCGGGCGACGGUUGUCCCGGUUUAAGCAUGUAGGCGGAGGUUCCAGGUAAAUCCGGUACCUUUUAACGCUGAGGUGUGAUGACGAGGCACUACGGUGCUGAAGUAACAAAUGCCCUGCUUCCAGGAAAAGCCUCUAAGCAUCAGGUAACAUCAAAUCGUACCCCAAACCGACACAGGUGGUCAGGUAGAGAAUACCAAGGCGCUUGAGAGAACUCGGGUGAAGGAACUAGGCAAAAUGGUGCCGUAACUUCGGGAGAAGGCACGCUGAUAUGUAGGUGAAGCCCCUGCGGGUGGAGCUGAAAUCAGUCGAAGAUACCAGCUGGCUGCAACUGUUUAUUAAAAACACAGCACUGUGCAAACACGAAAGUGGACGUAUACGGUGUGACGCCUGCCCGGUGCCGGAAGGUUAAUUGAUGGGGUUAGCGGUAACGCGAAGCUCUUGAUCGAAGCCCCGGUAAACGGCGGCCGUAACUAUAACGGUCCUAAGGUAGCGAAAUUCCUUGUCGGGUAAGUUCCGACCUGCACGAAUGGCGUAAUGAUGGCCAGGCUGUCUCCACCCGAGACUCAGUGAAAUUGAACUCGCUGUGAAGAUGCAGUGUACCCGCGGCAAGACGGAAAGACCCCGUGAACCUUUACUAUAGCUUGACACUGAACACUGGUCCUUGAUGUGUAGGAUAGGUGGGAGGCUUUGAAGCGUGGACGCCAGUCUGCGUGGAGCCGACCUUGAAAUACCACCCUUUAAUGGCUGGUGUUCUAACGUAGACCCGUGAUCCGGGUUGCGGACAGUGUCUGGUGGGUAGUUUGACUGGGGCGGUCUCCUCCCAAAGAGUAACGGAGGAGCACGAAGGUUAGCUAAUCCUGGUCGGACAUCAGGAGGUUAGUGCAAUGGCAUAAGCUAGCUUGACUGCGAGAGUGACGGCUCGAGCAGGUGCGAAAGCAGGUCAUAGUGAUCCGGUGGUUCUGAAUGGAAGGGCCAUCGCUCAACGGAUAAAAGGUACUCCGGGGAUAACAGGCUGAUACCGCCCAAGAGUUCAUAUCGACGGCGGUGUUUGGCACCUCGAUGUCGGCUCAUCACAUCCUGGGGCUGAAGUAGGUCCCAAGGGUAUGGCUGUUCGCCAUUUAAAGUGGUACGCGAGCUGGGUUUAGAACGUCGUGAGACAGUUCGGUCCCUAUCUGCCGUGGGCGCUGGAGAAUUGAGGGGGGCUGCUCCUAGUACGAGAGGACCGGAGUGGACGCAUCACUGGUGUUCGGGUUGUCAUGCCAAUGGCACUGCCCGGUAGCUAAAUGCGGAAAAGAUAAGUGCUGAAAGCAUCUAAGCACGAAACUUGCCCCGAGAUGAGUUCUCCCUGACCCUUUAAGGGUCCUGAAGGAACGUUGAAGACUACGACGUUGAUAGGUCGGGUGUGUAAGCGCAGCGAUGCGUUGAGCUAACCGAUACUAAUGAACCGUGAGGCUUAACCUUACAACGCCGAAGGUGUUU
RNAcentral lists this ribosomal RNA (2932 nucleotides) under Enterobacter genomosp. O. RNAcentral describes it as "23S ribosomal RNA". It matches the Rfam family "Bacterial large subunit ribosomal RNA". Lineage: Bacteria; Pseudomonadati; Pseudomonadota; Gammaproteobacteria; Enterobacterales; Enterobacteriaceae. The record is from RNAcentral.